AGAGUUUGAUCCUGGCUCAGGAUGAACGCUGGCGGCGUGUUAACACAUGCAAGUCGAGCGAGAUGUUCUCAGUAGAUUCUUCGGAUGAUACAGAGUUACGGAAAGCGGCGGACGGGUGAGUAACGCGUAGGCAACCUGCCCCUUGCAGAGGGAUAGCCUCGGGAAACCGGGAUUAAAACCUCAUAAUGCGGCACUGAGACAUCUCAGAGCCGCCAAAGAUUUAUCGGCAAGGGAUGGGCCUGCGUCUGAUUAGUUAGUUGGUGGGGUAACGGCCUACCAAGGCGACGAUCAGUAGCCGACCUGAGAGGGUGAUCGGCCACAUUGGAACUGAGACACGGUCCAAACUCCUACGGGAGGCAGCAGUGGAGAAUCUUGCACAAUGGGCGAAAGCCCUGAUGCAGCAACGCCGCGUGAAGGAUGAAGGCCCUUGGGUCGUAAACUUCUGUUCUAAGGGAAGAUAGUGACGGUACCUUAGGAGCAAGUCCCGGCUAACUACGUGCCAGCCGCCGC
This 510-nucleotide ribosomal RNA is filed under the name uncultured bacterium. Its description in RNAcentral is "bacterial SSU rRNA". It matches the Rfam family "Bacterial small subunit ribosomal RNA", at positions 8 to 518 of the family's 1533-position model. The record is from RNAcentral.